Long non-coding RNA from Gambusia affinis (western mosquitofish), 708 nucleotides. RefSeq lists it as uncharacterized. The record is from RefSeq and is a predicted model, not a curated record. The transcript is spliced from 2 exons. NCBI's taxonomy places the organism in Eukaryota, Metazoa, Chordata, Actinopteri, Cyprinodontiformes, Poeciliidae.
UGACUAGAAGCAACCGAGGGAAGUUGACGACACAAUAGGGAAUCAACAAAAAUGUCGGAAGAAAUAAAUCACGAUAACCUCAAAAACUCCAAACUAAGGUAAGAACAGUAAACUAAUAUCCAAAAGAUCAAUACAGGAAAAGGGUUGGAGCAAUGGAUUUGAGAUGGUUGCUCUCACACCUGCGAACAAGCUACCCAUCGUCUGGUUGGAUUCAUAUUGUGACAACCCCCUCAACAUCUGACGGUCGACCAAACGGGUAGAAAUGAGUCUUCUGUUUUUUUGUAUCUUCCCAGAGAAAUGCAGAGUAAAGUCUUACCUGACCACCUGCUGGAUUAUUGAGUUUUAAAACACUUGGAGUCCAGCUCACGGUUCUCAUUCUCCCCAAAUUUAAGCUCUUGGACGCUCCUUGUCCAUUGUCAAAGUCUAACUCCAGCUGGUUAAUGUCUGGUUCGGUUCUAGCCGAGUUGAACGCGUCUGUUCGGACAUGAGGAGACUCCACUAAAGUUUUACUGGCGAUUAGCAAGAAAAGAUUGGUGGAUUACCGCCACCUACUGGUAUGGAGUGUGGCUCAAUGUUUAUUUUACACGGUUAAUAUCUGACGAUAUUUUGUUAAUCGACUUUGUUCUCCAUAAAAACCUAAUUGCUAUUUGAAUUUUUAUACUUUCUGAAUUUUCCUGUAGUAUAAUGAUUAAAUUAAAUGUUUCUUUA